UGAGUAAGGUAUACGAGAAGAUCGCCAGC
This 29-nucleotide small RNA is filed under the name Bombyx mori (domestic silkworm). RNAcentral describes it as "ovarian small RNA-32245". Lineage: Eukaryota; Metazoa; Arthropoda; Insecta; Lepidoptera; Bombycidae. The record is from RNAcentral.